RNAcentral lists this long non-coding RNA (973 nucleotides) under Otus sunia (Oriental scops-owl). RNAcentral describes it as "lncRNA (ENSOSUG00000006802.1)". Lineage: Eukaryota; Metazoa; Chordata; Aves; Strigiformes; Strigidae. The record is from RNAcentral.
GUAGGUACCUGAUGCCCCACGGUCAGGCAGGUCCUCCCGGGGGGCUGGUACCCCCACAUCGAGGGGCUGGGCAGGGAGCACGGCGCCCAGCCAGAGAGCUGCCUCCUGAGGGAGCCCGGGCAUGCAGGACGUCGGUGGACGUGGCCCUCCUCACUCAGUCCUGUCUCUCUCUGCUUCCAGGAUGGUGGAGGGGGCAACAGAAAUUGCUGUGCCCGAUGCUCAAGCUGCCAUCGGCGUCUAUGCCUGGGGGCUGGGUGCCAUCCCGGCACUGUUCCAGGGGUGUGCACAGCAGCCCCCCGCAGACGGGCGCUUAGCCACGCAGGGUGCUGGAAGCCUCUUCACUCUCACCGUGGAGCGGGAGCUGGAGGGUGGCAGGCACCAGCGCUCGGCCCUCAGGAUCCUGGCGUCCCCUGGGGCCACCGGGCCCUGCCCCAAGCCGGCACCGGCCAUUGCCCGCCCCGUGCCUGAUGCUGGCUGCCUGCCCUGGAUCGUCGAGCAGCUGCUGGAGGGGAACAGCCUGACAUUCCUGCUGCUGUGUGUGACGCUGCCAGACACCUCCCGAGAGGAGAUCCUGGCGGCCCUGGGGCUGGCCGAGCGGGUGAAGGGGCUGGCCAAGACCAUCUCAGCCACGUUCUGGGACCCCGUGCAAGAGGUCGCGGCGCGUCGGAGGGAGAUGCGAGGGCUGCGGAUGGAGCUGCUGGCCAGAGCUGGCCUCCCCGAGCAGAAGACGGCUGUGGCCCGGCUGCGGACAGCCCUGCGGGAGCUGCAGGUGCUGAAAAGCCAAAGGUGGGAGAAGAAGCAGGCCGAGGUGCUCAGGACAAGCCAGACGCAUGAGCCCAGCGCGCAGGUGGGCGCAGGCCAGGCCACUGCCCCCUCAUCCUGGGACAACCCAGGGGCAGGAGAAGCCCUGAAUCCUGGUUGCAACCUAACAGCUCCUCCUGCUCCCACAGGACCGGAUCUCCGCAGGGAAUAA